Molecule: ribosomal RNA, 74 nt
Filed under: Trichoderma atroviride
Lineage: Eukaryota; Fungi; Ascomycota; Sordariomycetes; Hypocreales; Hypocreaceae
Description: partial 5.8S ribosomal RNA
Rfam family: 5.8S ribosomal RNA
About the family: 5.8S ribosomal RNA (5.8S rRNA) is a component of the large subunit of the eukaryotic ribosome. It is transcribed by RNA polymerase I as part of the 45S precursor that also contains 18S and 28S rRNA.
Source: RNAcentral
GUGAUCAUCGGAAUCUUUGAACGCACAUUGCGCCCGCCAGUAUUCUGGCGGGCAUGCCUGUCCGAGCGUCAUUU